UAUUCACCCUUUUGUUAACCUUUUAAAUUAUUUAGUACAUAUUCCCAGAAAUGCCCGAAUUCACUUGGAUAAUGAACAGUCCACAGAAUUCUGUAGGGAUACAAAUAAAAUAACCACUUUUCAUGACCAGCUGCUUUCCCGUGCUCUCUGCCAGGCCCCCUUCCACGCAUCUGCUCGCAUCUCCAGGGACUCAGCGCUUCCUCUCACUCCUUCGGAGGUUUUCUCUCAGAUUCGGAUGCCCUCCAUUGGUCCAUGCGCUUUGGAGAGAGCCUAGAAUACGGCCUUCCCCACUGCCUAAUCCGCGACACUUCCUCAUCCCUAACAACUCCUCACUAAAGGUCAAAAUAAAACAAAUGACACCUGCA
RNAcentral lists this long non-coding RNA (365 nucleotides) under Fukomys damarensis (Damara mole-rat). Its description in RNAcentral is "lncRNA (ENSFDAG00000032493.1)". Lineage: Eukaryota; Metazoa; Chordata; Mammalia; Rodentia; Bathyergidae. The record is from RNAcentral.